Molecule: long non-coding RNA, 228 nt
Filed under: Solanum tuberosum (potato)
Lineage: Eukaryota; Viridiplantae; Streptophyta; Magnoliopsida; Solanales; Solanaceae
Description: long non-coding RNA (STUB_LNC001040)
Source: RNAcentral
GCUUUUCAUAUUCAGACAGUGAUCUUGAGCCAGGCGUACUUGCAGCUCUCAGAUCCAAAACAUUGUUGCUCCUUAAGGUCUCCACAACACUCAGGUUAGUCAAUUUUGUAUCGUACACCACUAAAACUUGUACUAUUUCUCCAUUUCCGUACAUGUUCUCUUUGCGACAAUAGUGCAAAAGGUUUUCCUUUGUAUCUGCUAUGUGACUGAAUGCCCUCUGUUACUCCU